GCCCGGGUGGUGGAAUGGCAGACACAAGGGACUUAAAAUUCCUCGGCUGUAUAAGCCGUGCCGGUUCGAGUCCGGCCCCGGGCA
RNAcentral lists this transfer RNA (84 nucleotides) under Candidatus Margulisiibacteriota bacterium. RNAcentral's name for it is "tRNA-Leu". It matches the Rfam family "tRNA". From Rfam's summary of the family: Transfer RNA (tRNA) molecules are approximately 80 nucleotides in length. Their secondary structure includes four short double-helical elements and three loops (D, anti-codon, and T loops). Further hydrogen bonds mediate the characteristic L-shaped molecular structure. tRNAs have two regions of fundamental functional importance: the anti-codon, which is responsible for specific mRNA codon recognition, and the 3' end, to which the tRNAs corresponding amino acid is attached (by aminoacyl-tRNA synthetases). tRNAs cope with the degeneracy of the genetic code in two manners: having more than one tRNA (with a specific anti-codon) for a particular amino acid; and 'wobble' base-pairing, i.e. permitting non-standard base-pairing at the 3rd anti-codon position. The record is from RNAcentral. Lineage: Bacteria; Bacillati; Candidatus Margulisiibacteriota.